GGAGAUCAAGUUGAUGCAGCCUUGCCAACCCGUACGAACUCGUGAAAAGAAGAAAAGUAUUGGCGAAGUCGCCUGCUCGAAAGUAAAGUACGAGGAAAUAGUAUGUUGUUGUAUUGAUUUGGUGAUGAUUACAGAUCUAUGAAGGUGGCUAUUUAUAGCCUGUUACAACCAAUUUCUUAACCGACUAGGACUCUAUCUCUAAUUUUAAACGAAAACAAAUAUUUACAAGUAUGAUUCGUACUGGAGUUGAUCAUCGCGCUCUCAUGGGCUGACUCCCUCUUCAUCUUCAUAAUUCACUUUAAGCCCAUACCGGCCCAAUCGCUCCAGCCUCCUAAUCGGCCGAUUUCCACCAACUCCAUCCGCGGAAACACUGCAGCACCAAUCGGCCGAUCCUCAACUGUAACACCAAUCGGCCGAUUUCGAAUUGUGACUUCUGUGUUUUGCCACAUCUCCUGAUUUCUUCCUUUCUUGUCGCCGAUUUCACACGUGUCAAAAUAUGGCGUCAACACAUGCCCCCCAGUUUUGAAGUAAAACAUAGUCUUUACUUCAAAAUUCUUUUCAACUUCCCUUCCGAAAUAAACGUAUUGAAAAUAUCCUUCCGUUUCGCGGUCUCCAGCCUGAUGAUUGUAAUCUUUUCGAAACGGGCACCCACAACAACCACUCCUCCCAAAAAAAUCAAAACGCCGGCGCGGUAAAAAUUCCGCUUUUACCCCUUCUCAGACCACCUUUAAAUACAAGCUCGUCCCGUACUUCUCUUCACGAGCUCACAUCUUCCUUCUUUAGCGCUCUGACCUUCUUCUUCCUCCGGCACCUUCCUUAGACUCUAGUUCUUUUUCUCCGGCAUCUCCUUCCAUCUACACUCCACCCUACUUCUCCAAUGGCGGCACCCUCAGGCACCUCACCAACACCCGAAGCUCCGGAGAUGGCUCCACCAGUAGGAGUUCCAGUGGCAAUGGCAGCGGCUCCAUCGGUGGGAGAAGGAGCUCCACCGGCGGGAGUUGGGGCUUCGACUGAAGUCCCAUCGGCGGCUUCAGCAUCCGCAGCUCUUCCGGCAAUCCUGCCAACUACGAUGAGCUUCAUCCCGGAGGUCAUUACCGAAACUCUCCUUUCUUUAAUAAUAAUGCAUUUACUUUAGAUCCGUUCUUACUUCCGCACCCCUUUUUCCUUUUUUAGGCGGUUAGACAUCAGAUUACCAUCCGUCUCAUAGAAACUCC
RNAcentral lists this long non-coding RNA (1214 nucleotides) under Setaria viridis. RNAcentral's name for it is "long non-coding RNA (SVIR_LNC010873)". Lineage: Eukaryota; Viridiplantae; Streptophyta; Magnoliopsida; Poales; Poaceae. The record is from RNAcentral.